RNAcentral lists this long non-coding RNA (1173 nucleotides) under Oryctolagus cuniculus (rabbit). RNAcentral's name for it is "lncRNA (ENSOCUG00000036932.1)". Lineage: Eukaryota; Metazoa; Chordata; Mammalia; Lagomorpha; Leporidae. The record is from RNAcentral.
AUGUAUGUAUAUAUAUAUUUAACCUCAACGGGAGCCGCCUGUCACUGUUCCACCCUCGCCCCGGGCGGCAGCCACGCAAGGGUUAGCCCAGUUUAUCUGGCAAGGCUCAGCCGGGAUGAUAAAGAUGAGUUACGACUUGGAGGCUUCUCUCCAGUGGCCCUCCAGAGCACCAGGCCUUGGCCGAGCUGCCCACAGGGACAUAUUUUCGUACUGCCUCUUCUGCCGUCCCGCCGACUUCCCCUGAGUUGCGUCUCCAGACCCGGGGCGCCCCGCGUUCCAGCCUGGACUCUGGGGUCUCACUGGCGUGGGACCACCGGGAGGGAGUCAAGGCCGCUUUCCAUUCUUCCCUCAGGCCGGCAUCUGCCUUGGGAUCCCACACAACUCUGCUCCCCCUGGUUCAUUCGCCCCAGCUCCCACCCCCACGUCGCUCGCAGGGUCAGCGCGGGGACGAGGUCCGGUCAUUGCCCGGGAUUGACCCGGCCUUGCCCGCGAGCGCCGGGCGGGGCGGGGAGGGAGCGAGCGCGCGCCUCGCGAAAGCCCCGCCCCAUCGCCAGAUGCGGCGCCGAUGGUACUGAGGAUCAUUUUGAAAUGAAAUACUGCAUUCCCGAAUGUUUCCUGAAAGUUACUUCGAUCCUUUUGUGCUUGCCCUAUACAUCUUAUGUCCCUACUCCUUGGGAAUUUUUCUUGAUUAUUAAACCUCAAGGCAGCUUUCCAGGCUUCCAAAGCAUAGUUACUUCUUUCUAAAAAAUAUUUUAUUCAUUUAUCGUUCCAGUUUUAGUAUAUGUGCUGCCAAAGCGAGCACAAGAUUUUGUUUAUCUAUUUGACAGGUAGAGUUACAAUGAGAGGGAGAAACAGAGAGAGAGAUCUUCCAUCCACUGGUUCAUUCUCAAAUGGCCGCAACGGUGGGAGCUGGGCCGAUCCGGAGCCAGGAGCUUCUUCCAGGUCUCCCAAGUGGGCACAGGGGCCCAAGGACUUGGGCCAUCUUCUACUGCUUUCCCAGGCUACAGCAGAGAGCUGGAUAGGAAGAAGAGUAGCCAGAACUAGAACCUGAGCCCAUAUGGGAUGCCAGCACCGCAGGCGGAGGGUUAACCUACUGCGUCACAACGCUGGCUCGGCCUAGUUGCUUCUGAGUUGGCUGAUCCAAUAAACUGCACCUGCCCAUUAGCGAAUGCA